This is a long non-coding RNA of Ananas comosus (pineapple), 985 nucleotides long. RefSeq lists it as uncharacterized. The record is from RefSeq and is a predicted model, not a curated record. The transcript is spliced from 3 exons. Lineage: Eukaryota; Viridiplantae; Streptophyta; Magnoliopsida; Poales; Bromeliaceae.
CAAUGCUUUCUCCCUGUUGCCCGCGCCUGUUCGACGAAAUGCCGAGCUGAUCAAAGGGUCUCGUGGGCAUCGAAUUUUUUUAUAUAAUAAAAAAUAAAAACGAAAAAAAUUAAUUUUUUAAUUUUCUUUUCCUACAAACCAAACAUCAGAAAACACAACAUUUUUUUCCAUCGAAAACUCUUUUUUGUGAAAAUUGUUUUCCGCACUGGAACCAAACACCCUUAUUCUUUUCGUUUCCUGCCUCAAUUUGAUAACACUUUCGUUUUUAAUUAUGUUGCAGGAGAUUUUGGGCUUGCUAAGACUUUAAAGGCAGAUGACUUAGCUUCCUCUAGCUGAUCAGAGGGUUCUCCGUGGGCAUCGGAGAGGGUGCGAGAGGAGGAUGUGAGUAUCCGCAGCAGGUGCAAAGCGCAGAGCAUGCAGCAGUGGUGGUGGGAAAGAAGCAGCAGCGGAUGAUGCUGUGUCAGCCUCCUCCCCUCGAACUGGUUCUUCCUGCCGAAUGGUCCUACUAACACUCGCACCCAAACUCUUUAUCUAUUUCUCUCCCUCUGUAGGCAAGCUUUUAGAAGUUUUCGAUGUUAACCUGCAAGAAUGGAGCAACUCAGAAGUAGGUCCUAUGCGCCGCUGAAACGAAUUCAACCUUAAAACCGUAGAUGAAGUCCUAUCCUCAAAACCCUUCACUUCAGGUGCUGAAAGUAUCUGUGAGAGAAGAUAGUGCUGCUGAUUCUGUUUUGAAUAUUCGGCUUUAUGGCCCAAAUAUAGACUUUGUGAUCGAUCGCAAGAGAGAGUUGAAGGUUAGUGCUCUAAAUUUUGGCUUAUGAAAUUUUCAAGUUUUGGGUUAUUGCAUCAUCUGGAAGUUUUGCAAAUGAACUAAUAUCCAUUUAAAUGCUAUGCCAUCUUUUCCCAUUGUCAACAGCAAGCUCUGAUACUGUUUAUUUUCUUUAAAACCUCUGAUCCUUGAUUGAAUCUUUAGAUGAUAGUAAUAAAC